This is a long non-coding RNA of Oncorhynchus tshawytscha (Chinook salmon), 2547 nucleotides long. NCBI's taxonomy places the organism in Eukaryota, Metazoa, Chordata, Actinopteri, Salmoniformes, Salmonidae. The record is from Ensembl.
GAGGGUUUUAGUGUAGGGACGUCCCAAGGACACCGGAUAGAACUGACCGUUUGAGAAGUGCGCUCCUCUCACCGCUUUUGGCGGUUCACUGUAACGGACCAUAGACCUGUGCACUGCAUCGAUUACGGACAUUACGUUUCCUUUCCACGCGUGUCACCGUGGUCAAAGCACCUUUUCUUUCCUAAAACCUUUGUCGCGUUCAAAAAAACUGGGAAUUCGGAUGCAUCCCGUCUUCAUUGCGUCCAUAACAACUGGAAACUCGGGGAAAAAUAGCUCCGACUGGGUAAAAUCGUUUUGAACAGUCGUCCAAAGAAGAUCACUGACGUUGACCACGUUUUGUACCAGUUACCAGUUGACUUGAAAGCACCAUACAUUCUCCGAGCUACACUAGUGGACACGAUUAUCGGUAAUAUUACAGCAACAAAGCCAUCCGGACGCGGGGAGGCAAGCUGGGACUGACUACCACAUGAGUGAGAAUACCGGGGAAAGUCUAAUUUAACGGUAUUUCUCCGGUAUAGGCUAAGCGGUAGAGCCUACAGACAAAAAUAGAAGACAAUAUGAUAAGCAGAUCAUCUUUUGCUGACUCGAAUAUUCUACACACUUUCUGUCAGCAACAAUGGAAUUUAGUUUUAUAUUGCCUAUUCUCUUUACGUUUCUUGCUACUACUCUGGUGACCUCAUUGUUCAGUAACAACGAUACUCUGCUGCUGACUCGCCCUCUGGCUUUGCAGCAUCCAAAGCAGAUCACUCACGGGAGGAGGGAGCGAUGAGGUGAAAACUGGAUUAGUUAAAUCAGGACCGUCGGUAAAUCUUACGGAGAAACAGGGGACAGUAGCAGGGCUAACCUCUGCGGACAAACCGGAGGAGGACAGUGAAUGCCGAUUCGUGGGGAAGAUAACGGAUCCGGUGGCAGCGGACAGAAGGACAGUUUGGAAGGAGGGGAUCCAAGCUGCCGUGCACGUGCAAAUGGUGAAAUCUGGCAUUAUGUCUGGCCAACAGUGCUGGAACUCAAACCCCGCCUCAGCGCCGGUGGACAUUCCAGGAAGAUACUUUGGUCACCUACAGUUCCCUGAGGGGGGGUCUUUUCUCUUAGCAGAUAUGGAAGAAGUGGAUGUAGAUUGUGCGCCCAUGAAAUACGCCCCCAGGAUGUAGCGGACCAGCCAGAUGGAGAAGAUGAGGAGCUGGAGGAGGAACAGCGGUCUGUACUGGACUGGGCAGCAUCUCAAUACUCUGACGUGGCUUCCUCUCCUAGUCUCCUCUCCUUUCCCCUUAUUUAAGUGCCACUGCUUACCAGCAGUAACUGGCCAUGUCCAAAUACCCAUACUUGUGUUCUAAAUAGUAGGCUUUUUGGGUAUGCCAAAAUAUGUUUUAUAGGAUGUGAGAUUUAGAAAAUGUAGUUAAGGCCAGGAUGUCAUACUAAUUUCAGCUUUUCAUCUCGUAGAAUUUGCAGCACACUGUUGAGGAAGACGAUAGUCUUUUGAGACCCACAUGCGUUUGACAACAGCUAAUUAUCCAAAUAGUGAAUGUGGCGUGGAACAAGCGCCAUUUUGCAUUACAUGACGCCUUCUCAGUAUGAAUGAGCUUAGAAUGUUCAUCUUUGUUGCUUACUGCAUACAUUUUUACAAAAAAAGUAUGUUCUAAAUACUAUGUAGUAUGAUUAGUACACAGUAUGUAGAUUUCAGAUGUAGUAGACGACAGAUUUCAGACACAGCCAUUGUAAAUAGUCUUUCCAACUCACUAUAACCCUCUCCUGUCCAGUGUCCUCUGCUACCUUACAACCCCUCUCCCUUUCUCCAAGUGUCAGUGAGUGUUGUCUCUGUGAGGUGAUUUUGCUUAGCAGCUACUUCUAUCCACGGCACCACUGGGGACUUAGGACUGACCAAGGCUCCGAAAACAAGGUGAAAGAAAGAAAGAGGAGGAAACCCCCCAACGAGUUGAGGGAGAAACACAAAUCAGACCUUGGAUCAGUGUUGGAGGGCAGCUUAAUUUUACUCCAGCAGAAACCCAGGCCUGGUGUCUGUCUGUAACAUCUGUAUUCAGAGACUCCACCAGGCCUGGUGUCUGUCUGUAACAUCUGUAUCCUGAUCUCUAUUUCUGCAGGGUAGAGUUCACCACUGACUUUACCUCUCUGUAAGCCGAUCAGACAGACAGACAGACGGACGGGCGGGCGUUGUAAUAAAAGCAUGGGUGCAAUGGGAGCAGCUGGCAGCCAUCUUCCAGCUGCUGAAGGAGAACCAGGAGACAUUUGGGGAGGUGUCAGAGGGAGACGUGGAGGAGCGACUCUACUCCAUCUAAACCCCUAGUCUACUCACAGUCGACUCUAUUCCCUGCCUUGCCUCGGCCGUAUCCUUAUCUCGUCCAUUGCUAUCUCUCCUCAACCUUUCCCAUGGAGCACCCUUUCCCAUGGAGCACCCUUUCCCAUGGAGCACCCUUUCCCAUGGAGCACCCGUUCCCAUGGAGCACCCUUUCCCAUGGAGCACCCGUUCCCAUGGAGCACCCUUUCCCAUGGAGCACCCUUUCCCAUGGAGCACCCUUUCCCAUGGAGCAC